Nannospalax galili (Upper Galilee mountains blind mole rat) is the source of this 375-nucleotide long non-coding RNA. RefSeq lists it as uncharacterized. NCBI's taxonomy places the organism in Eukaryota, Metazoa, Chordata, Mammalia, Rodentia, Spalacidae. The transcript has 2 exons. The record is from RefSeq and is a predicted model, not a curated record.
CUGUGCUUCUGACAACUGUCCACCACAUCCCAGCUCAACAUCUGCUGAUACCUUGGGUCCUGAGACUGCAGAAGAGAAUUCCUUUACUCAAAUGCAAGACGAAGGAGGCUCACAUGACUUGGGCUAAGGAUCUGUACAAGGCUCAAGAAGCUCAGAUGGCUACAGGACUCCCAAGGACCUUCCCCAACAGAAGCAGUGAAACUGGUGCUGCAGAGAGGAAAUUCAUGACGGCCUGCACAGCGUGCAGGACAUCCAGGGACGCAGCUCUCAGGAGAACUCGCUCAUGCUUGGGUGGGCUUUUGCAUGAAACAGCUGGCUGUCUUUGAGUUGCCUGUGUUCCUGUACGUAAUCCCAAUAAACUCAUUGGCUCACCAA